This 379-nucleotide unclassified non-coding RNA is filed under the name uncultured bacterium. RNAcentral's name for it is "contains 16S-23S intergenic spacer region". The record is from RNAcentral.
UCGCGGCUUAUCACCGGCAGUCCCCUUAGAGUGCCCAACUAAAUGAUGGCAACUAAGGGCGAGGGUUGCGCUCGUUGCGGGACUUAACCCAACAUCUCACGACACGAGCUGACGACAGCCAUGCAGCACCUGUGCAGGGACUCCGAAGAGGGGUCCUGGUUUCUCAGGACUUUCCCCUGCAUGUCAAGCCCAGGUAAGGUUCUUCGCGUUGCGUCGAAUUAAACCACAUGCUCCACCGCUUGAGCGGGCCCCCGUCAAUUCCUUUGAGUUUUAGCCUUGCGGUCGUACUCCCCAGGCGGGGCACUUAACGCGUAAGCUGCGACACGGAGAGGGCCGAUCCCCCCCGCAUCCAGUGCCCAUCGUUUACGGCGUGGACUAC